This is a non-coding RNA of Anolis sagrei ordinatus, 184 nucleotides long. The record is from RefSeq and is a predicted model, not a curated record. Lineage: Eukaryota; Metazoa; Chordata; Lepidosauria; Squamata; Anolidae.
AUUGCUUUUUGGCCUUUUGGCUAAGAUCAAGUGUAGUAAUCUUAUCUGUUUAAUAUCUAUUAUUUUGGGGCUGCGGUGGUGCAAUGGGUUAAACCCUUGCGCUGCUGAAGUGCUGACCUGAAGGUUGGCAGUUCGAAUCCACAGGACGGGAUGAGCUCCUGCUGUUAGGCUUAGCUCCUGCCAA